UAACUUACCUGGCAGAGGAGAUAGAAUGAUCAAGAACCUGGUUCACCCAGGGCGAGUUUCAGCCACUGUACUCUGGUUGGGUUGACCCCUGUAAGAAUUUCCCAAACUUGGGAACCUUGACUGCAUACUUUCUGGUAGUGGGGGACUGCAAACAGGCUUUACCUUG
Molecule: small nuclear RNA, 166 nt
Organism: Scomber japonicus (chub mackerel)
Lineage: Eukaryota; Metazoa; Chordata; Actinopteri; Scombriformes; Scombridae
Product: U1 spliceosomal RNA
Exons: 1
Source: RefSeq, a predicted model, not a curated record